GAUGAACGCUGGCGGCGUGCCUAAUACAUGCAAGUCGAGCGAACGGACGAGAAGCUUGCUUCUCUGAUGUUAGCGGCGGACGGGAGAGUAACACGUGGAUAACCUACCUAUAAGACUGGGAUAACUUCGGGAAACCGGAGCUAAUACCGGAUAAUAUUUUGAACCGCAUGGUUCAAAAGUGAAAGACGGUCUUGCUGUCACUUAUAGAUGGAUCCGCGCUGCAUUAGCUAGUUGGUAAGGUAACGGCUUACCAAGGCAACGAGGCAUAGCCGACCUCAGAGGGUGGUCGGCCACCCUGGAACUGAGACACGGUCCAGACUCCUACGGGAGGCAGCAGUAGGGAAUCUUCCGCAAUGGGCGAAUGCCUGACGGAGCAACGCCGCGUGAGUGAUGAAGGUCUUCGGAUCGUAAAACUCUGUUAUUCGGGAAGAACAUAUGUGUAAGUAACUGUGCACAUCUUGACGGUACCUAAUCAGAAAGCCACGGCUAACUACGUG
This 497-nucleotide ribosomal RNA is filed under the name uncultured bacterium. RNAcentral's name for it is "partial 16S ribosomal RNA". It matches the Rfam family "Bacterial small subunit ribosomal RNA", at positions 28 to 507 of the family's 1533-position model. The record is from RNAcentral.